This 497-nucleotide ribosomal RNA is filed under the name uncultured bacterium. RNAcentral describes it as "partial 16S ribosomal RNA". It matches the Rfam family "Bacterial small subunit ribosomal RNA", at positions 28 to 507 of the family's 1533-position model. The record is from RNAcentral.
GAUGAACGCUGGCGGCGUGCCUAAUACAUGCGAGUCGAGCGAACAGAUGAGGAGCUUGCUCCUCUGACGUUAGCGGCGGACGGGUGAGUAACACGUGGAUAACCUACCUAUAAGACUGGGAUAACUUCGGGAAACCGGAGCUAAUACCGGAUAAUAUAUUGAACCGCAUGGUUCAAUAGUGAAAGACGGUUUUGCUGUCACUUAUAGAUGGAUCCGCGCCGCAUUAGCUAGUUGGUAAGGUAACGGCUUACCAAGGCAACGAUGCGUAGCCGACCUGAGAGGGUGAUCGGCCACACUGGGACUGAGACACGGUCCAGACUCCUACGGGAGGCAGCAGUAGGGAAUCUUCCGCAAUGGGCGAAAGCCUGACGGAGCAACGCCGCGUGAGUGAUGAAGGUCUUCGGAUCGUAAAACUCUGUUAUUAGGGAAGAACAAAUGUGUAAGUAACUAUGCACGUCUUGACGGUACCUAAUCAGAAAGCCACGGCUAACUACGUG